AGUGAGGAAUAUUGCUCAAUGGGCGAAAGCCUGAAGCAGCAACGCCGCGUGCGCGAUGAAGGUCUUCGGAUCGUAAAGCGCUUUUGAGAGGGACGAGAUAGGACGGUACCUCUUGAAUAAGUCACGGCUAACUACGUGCCAGCAGCCGCGGUAAAACGUAGGUGGCAAGCGUUAUCCGGAUUCACUGGGCGUAAAGCGAGUGCAGGUGGUUGUGUAAGUUGGAUGUGAAAUUUCCCGGCUUAACCGGGAAGGGUCGUUCAAUACUGCGCGACUUGAGGGCAGAAGAGGGGGGUGGAAUUGCCGGUGUAGUGGUGAAAUGCGUAGAUAUCGGCAGGAACACCUGUGGCGAAAGCGGCCCCCUGGUCUGCUCCUGACACUCAGACUCGAAAGCUAGGGUAGCGAACGGGAUUAGAAACCCCGGUAGUCCUAGCCGUAAACGAUGGAUGCUAGGUGUGGGUGGUAUUGACCCCAUCCGUGCCGAAGCUAACGCGUUAAGCAUCCCGCCUGGGGACUACGACCGCAAGGUUAAAACUCAAAGGAAUUGACGGGGACCCGCACAAGCAGCGGAGCGUGUGGUUUAAUUCGAUGCUACACGAAGAACCUUACCCAGGUUUGACAUACAGGUAGUAGUGAAGCGAAAGCAGAACGACUCGCAAGAGAGCCUGCACAGGUGCUGCAUGGCUGUCGUCAGCUCGUGCCGUGAGGUGUUUGGUUAAGUCCACUAACGAGCGCAACCCCUGUCGUCAGUUACAUGUGUCUGACGAGACUGCCGGUCUUAAACCGGAGGAAGGUGGGGAUGACGUCAAGUCAGCAUGGCCUUUAUAUCUGGGGCUACACACACGCUACAAUGGCCGGUACAAUGGGUUGCCAACCCGCGAGGGGGAGCUAAUCCUCUAAAACCGGUCUCAGUUCGGAUUGUAGGCUGCAACCCGCCUGCAUGAAGCCGGAGUUGCUAGUAAACGCGCGUCAGCCAUAGUGCGUUGAAUACGUUCCCGGGUCUUGUACACACCGCCCGUCACGUCAUGGGAGCUGGUAACACCUGAAGCCGGUGCGCUAACCGCAAGGAGGCAGCCGUCGAGGGUGGGAUUGGUGACUGGGACG
This 1101-nucleotide ribosomal RNA is filed under the name uncultured bacterium. Its description in RNAcentral is "bacterial SSU rRNA". It matches the Rfam family "Bacterial small subunit ribosomal RNA", at positions 353 to 1482 of the family's 1533-position model. The record is from RNAcentral.